GUGGAGUGCGAACGGGUCUGGGGACUUGUUCUGAUUGGUCGUUGGAAGCAAAGAAGCUGGGCGGAGACGUCACUGUGGACUGCGGGACGCAGGAAGGAGAGUAUACAGUACAAUCUGCUUUCUAGAAACGUCGAAAAGUCUCACAUCGUGCAUUAUAAUUGGAACAUCACUACAUCCAAGUGAAUGACAAAAAUUCAGUGGUGCAGAGGAUGGUUUGGUUGAGAUGGUCAUCAAGGGUUCCCAGCCCUGCUCUGUUGUGGAGAACAUUGGGUUCCGGGAUCUCAUUGCUGCUUUGAACCCUAGCUAUGUUCUUCCUACCAAACAGGUUUUGAAAGCUAUGGUGGAAGAGCGGAAGUCAGAGUCCAAGGAGAGAGCCAAGAGUUGGUGUCAAAUGCGUAAGACAUGUGGACAUCAAUUAAAGAACAUGACAGCGCUGCGUGUUUGGAAAUAUUCUGAAUGACGUGACAACACCGCGGCGAGAUCGACGUGUGUCGCAACCCUUUCUACAAGGGUCCUCUACAUCGCGUCGUCAAGUGAGCUGUCAAACUCUCCGAGUGCGGAAGGAUGCGCACCUGAUGUAUCGUAUCAAAACAACUUUUGAAGUACAAUUGCAGUCCGCCGAGCCACUGCAAAAUGGAGCCCGUUCAAGAACAAGAGAGUAUACGGGUUUUGACCUCAUAUCAGCAAACAAAUGCAUUUUUAUUUAUUUAUUUUUUUUACUAUUUCAGGUAAAACUUCACAUUUGCAUCACACAGGUGAAGUCGUCUGAAGGCCAAACCGUUUUCCUGAAUAAUUUUUGAUAUGCAUUGCAGCCAAUGUACCGGCCAAAAUACAAUUAUUUUCAUUAUAGUUGUCCAAUAAAAGUAUUUUAAAAUCAUAUCGGAUAAUAGCAA
This is a long non-coding RNA of Corythoichthys intestinalis (scribbled pipefish), 893 nucleotides long. RefSeq lists it as uncharacterized. The record is from RefSeq and is a predicted model, not a curated record. The transcript is spliced from 3 exons. Lineage: Eukaryota; Metazoa; Chordata; Actinopteri; Syngnathiformes; Syngnathidae.